This 74-nucleotide transfer RNA is filed under the name Podarcis lilfordi (Lilford's wall lizard). RNAcentral's name for it is "tRNA.Ile". The stretch from base 8 to 66 matches the Rfam family "tRNA", at positions 8 to 63 of the family's 71-position model. Rfam says of the family: Transfer RNA (tRNA) molecules are approximately 80 nucleotides in length. The record is from RNAcentral. Lineage: Eukaryota; Metazoa; Chordata; Lepidosauria; Squamata; Lacertidae.
GCUUGGAUAGCUCAGUUGGUUAGAGCAUGAUGCUGAUAAUGCCAAAGUUGCAGGUUUGAUCCUUGCAUGGGACA